CGUUCAAUACUACACUAUCGUACUAAAUAGUAUGCAUUAUCAGUAACGACAUAAUAGCUGAUGGACUGAUUUGGCAUACUAUGUGAUAAGAUUAGGAAAUCAGUCUUACUACGGAUAAAAAAAGAAUUGAGAAGAAUACCGGCUUAAAACUAAAAGGCAGGUUCACGGUGGGUCAAUGCAGCAACACAACCUGGCGUAAUACAGCGAGUUAUAGGACGCCAAUCCAAAUCAGGUCCUCGACCAUCCCUCCUCCUUCUCAGACAUAGCUGAUUAAGUCUCUAUGUAGAUGCCCGGCUGGUCGAUAGCACCACUGGUGAUUAGAACCCUGGACCCCAGCAUAAGUGGACCUACAGAUGACGUUAGGGAAGGUCAAUUGAGGGUUAAGAGCCUUGCUCAGGAGUCCAACAGUGGCAACUUAUCAGAGUUUGGGCUUGAACCUGCAACCUUCUGAUUGCUAGACCAGUACCUUAACCUCUGAGCUACCCCCGCUCACAGGGACCACAACAACAGUGUUUCAGUCAGAACAAUCGCUAACAGCAACACCUGAGAGAAAUACCACAACACAGAGGGGGUCAAAGUACCAGUCUAUAAAAAUAUGAGGCACCAGGGUAAAGCAUGACUACACAGGACUGAGAAAUUCUUCUUAUAAAGGAAAGCUUAUAAAGAUUAGCGCUUUUCCACUGGCA
Molecule: long non-coding RNA, 686 nt
Organism: Trichomycterus rosablanca
Lineage: Eukaryota; Metazoa; Chordata; Actinopteri; Siluriformes; Trichomycteridae
Exons: 5
Source: RefSeq, a predicted model, not a curated record